Molecule: ribosomal RNA, 420 nt
Filed under: Fusobacteriota bacterium
Lineage: Bacteria; Fusobacteriati; Fusobacteriota
Description: Fusobacteria bacterium partial 16S ribosomal RNA
Rfam family: Bacterial small subunit ribosomal RNA
Source: RNAcentral
UGGGGGAUAUUGCACAAUGGGCGAAAGCCUGAUGCAGCGACGCCGCGUGGGGGAUGAAGGCCUUCGGGUUGUAAACUUCUUUUGCUCUGAACAAGGCAUGCCUUUGGGGUGUGUUGAGGGUAGGGGUUGAUUAGCGCUGGCUAACUACGUGCCAGCAGCCGCCGUAAUACGUAGGGCGCGAGCGUUGUCCGGAAUUAUUGGGCGUAAAGGGCUUGUAGGUGGCUGGUUGCGUCUGUCGUGAAAGCUCAUGGCUUAACUGUGGGUUUGCGGUGGGUACGGGCUGGCUUGAGUGCAGUAGGGGAGGCUGGAAUUCCUGGUGUAGCGGUGGAAUGCGCAGAUAUCAGGAGGAAUACCGGUGGCGAAGGCGGGUCUCUGGGCUGUUACUGACGCUGAGGAGCGAAAGCGUGGGGAGCGAACAGG